This is a long non-coding RNA of Solanum pennellii, 5145 nucleotides long. RefSeq lists it as uncharacterized. The record is from RefSeq and is a predicted model, not a curated record. The transcript is spliced from 2 exons. NCBI's taxonomy places the organism in Eukaryota, Viridiplantae, Streptophyta, Magnoliopsida, Solanales, Solanaceae.
AGUUGUACAUUUUUUAUUUUUUAUUUUUUAAACAAAAGAUGGCCUUUCAUUGAUGAGAUAAGGAUACGCACUUAGAAGUUUGGCAUACCAAACUUGUACCUUUGGUGGUUAAGGAUCACUUGGCAAAAAUAAAACUAUUCAAAGGCCAGUGGAAGUCACUAGCUACGGAUCUAAGGAGGUUCAGAAAUAAGGUUUCCAUCCUUUGUUUUUUUUUAUUUGAAGGUGGGCAAAUUCAUUCUAUACAAAUUUACAAGGCCCUUAACAAGACUAGGAAGAUUAGUUUAACAGUUCAAGACAUGGUAAAUAUCAGUUGAGAGGUUAAUUGAAGCAAGUUUGUCCGGAGGUUGAUUUGCCUCUCUAAGGCAGUGAUUGAUGGUGAAACCAUGCUCUUCAACUAUUUUUUGAAUCUUGUUAACUGAUAAACAUGGGACACUCUUGUGAUGUAUGCUGCCACCGAAUUGAGGACUUUCUUAGUCCACCAUUUUGUAGCAGGUUCUUCAAGUUAAUGUUGGUGUAUUCUAUCCCAAUGGGCAUUGCAUAUAGCCUCCAAAUCUUCUUUGCGUGUUCACCUGCAUAGAAAAUAUGUUCUGCACUUUCCAAAGCGGUAGGAAUAUUAUUGUUAGUGCGAGAUAAUGGGAUACUAAGCCUUGCAAUCUUGGCAUCUGCGGGAAGUCUGUCAAUAAUGGCUCUCCAAGUUAAGAAGGACAUUUUGAAUGGGAUGUUUUUAUGCCACAUUUUGCUAAAAGUUGUGGUGCCAAUACCCUUGUGCCUACAAAUAUUUCAUGCCGAUGUCACAGUGAAAUUGCCCGCACUAGUAGGGGACCAGACAGGUUUAUCUUGUUCUUCGUUGUUCAGAUUCAGCCCUAAUCUUGUAAUCAUGACCUUAAUCUGAUUGGGAGGUUGGUUCUGCAACAUGCUUCAGUUCCCCUUUCCAUUUCCGAGGAUUUCUUUAACCAUGAUAUUAUGGACACUAAAACAAGGAGGGAGAAGUUUGUAUAGGGGUCCAAGUUGGGACCAAUUAUCACACCAAAAAUAUACUUCACCUCUGCCCACGAUCCAUUUGAGUUCAUUUUCUGCUAUCUCCCUAAUGUUACACAUAUGUUUCCCCCAAGUAGAUUGUCCUUUCCUCCAGGUAGCUAGAGCAAGAUGAGUAUUUAGGAAGUAUUUGUGUUUCACAAUAUCAAACCACAAUGAGUUGCUGGUUCCAAGUUUCCACUAUUGCUUGUAUGAGAAAGCAUUGCAUACGUCGCUAAUCCUUCUUAUAUUAAUCCCACCUUCUUCAAAAGGGAGACAGAGGGUUCUCCAAGCAAUCCAAUGAUGUUUACCAACCCUCUUUGCCAGACCAAAAAAAUCUAGCUAAAUAUCUUUCAGUAUUAUCAAGAGUACCUUUGGUGGGUUGUAUUGCAGCAAGCAUAUGGGUGGGGAUGGCUAAUAGUACAUCCUUGAUGAGAACAACUCUUCCCCCAGUCGAAAAAAUAUGUUAUGCCACCCUUUGAUUCUGUUAAUAAUGUUCUUGACUAACUCAUUGAAGUGAAUAGUCUUCUUCUUCCCACUAAUAAGAGGGCACCCAAGAUAUUUUAUGGGAAAUUCCUGAUGAUUCAUACAAGUAAUGAGCUUUAUCUUGGCAAUAAAACUUUGCUUAGCGUUAUUAGCUACACACAAACAACUUUUGUUCUUGUUAAUCAAUUGACCUGAAGUAUUCUCAUAGAUGCGGAGGGUUCUAAGGAACAUCUGAAGAGUUUCUUUACUCCCAUUGCAAAAAAAUAUUGUAUCAUCUGCAAAGGAAAGAUGAUUCACAUGGGGACCAUUCUGGUGCAUAUAAAAGCUUUUGUAACCCCUUUCUUCUUCUAGACAGAUCAUUAAGCAUUUGAGAUAAUAAUUCAGAGGUAAGUACAAAAAGGGAGGGGGAGAGGGGGUCGCCUUGUCUAAGCCCUUUACCUGAUUUGAAGAAGCCUUGUCUAUCUGCAUUGAUAAUAAUAGAAUACCAGUUAUGGGAAAUGUACCUGUAGAUCAAAUCAAUCCAAAUUUCACAAAAACCCAUUUUCCUAAGUACCAUACAUAGAUACGUCCAUGAGACCCUAUCAUAUCCCUUGGUCAUAUCUAAUUUAAUGACCACAUUGCCUCCUCUAUUGGGUUUUUUGAUGUCAUCAAUGAUUUCCUGGGCCAAUAGGAUGUUUUUGGAGAUAGCUUUACCUUUUAUAAAUCCGGAUUGAUUAUUGGAAAUAAUCUUAGGGAGGAUGGGGCUGAGUUUGCUAUUCAAGAUUUUGGAUAUGAUUUUGCUCGUCACAUUGGAUAGGCUGAUUGGUCUGAGGUCUGUGAAGUACUUGGGGGUUUCCAUUUUAGAUAUCAUGACUAGACAUGUGUGAGUGUAGAAUUUGGUGAGCUCAGCACCUCCAAAGAAUGUCUUGAUAGCCAUAUGCAGGUCUCCUUGGAUAACACUCCAAGCACUUUGAAAAAAUCCCCCACUGUACCCAUCUGGACCUGGAGCACUAUCUGGAUCAAUAGAGAAUGUUGCUUCUUGGACCUCCUGGAAUAAGGGGCCAGCAAUAAGCAUUUCAUUGUCUUGCUCAGUGAUUUUGCUUCUCAGUUGAACGGUGGCCUCCAAAUUCUGUCUCUGCUGCUCCGAGGAGAAAGUUUUCUGGAAAUAUUAUACUGUUGCUUUUGAGAUCGCUUCUUUCCCUUCAAUCCAUUGAUGUUGCCCAACCAUGAUUUUGUUGAUAGUAAGUCUUUUCCUUCUAUUCCUCAACACCCCAUGAAAGUAAACAGAGUUAGCAUCUACUUCCUCUAACCAUUUGAUUCUUGUUUUUUGCCUCAAGACAUUCUCUGUACCAUUAAGAAUUUAGUGUAUUCAGCUCUAUCCCUUGAUAAGGCUAUUUUAUUUUCCACAUUGUUGUCGUAGAUACUCUUUUAUUCUAAUAGAACAAUUUCUUGUUCCCAUUUCUUAGGUUCUUCGUAAAUGUCUCUGGAGGCUUCUCUGGACCAAUCACUUAAGGCCUUGGCAGUUCUUUUGAGCUUUUGUUAAAGUAUAUAGAGAGGGUUGUCAAUUACCUCUUCUUCCCAACUCGUAUGUAAUACCUACAAAAAAUCUUGGAAAUUAGUCCAGACAUUAAGGAAUUUAAGUAUUUAAUGUUGUUAGUGUGAUCAUUAGUCCAGACAUUAAGCAAAUGGGCAUGAUCAGAGCAGGCCCUUGAUAGGUGUGUCACGCAGGUGCCUUCAUAGAUAUCAAACCAUUGAGAGUUAUACAACAAUCUAUCCAAUAUUUUCCAUAUAGUGUCUGGAGGGUCCCUUUGGUGACACCAUGUAAAAGUUGGGCCAGAGAAGCUUGCAUCUUGUAAGACACAAUCAUCAAUACAAGAAAUAAAGUCUAAGUUAUUAUUUAAGCUAAAGGGUUGCCCUCCCAAUUUUUUCCUCUAUAUAAGUGAUUGAGUUAAAAUCUCCAACUACACCCCAUGGGGCAUGUAUCAUUGUUGCAGUAUUCUUUAGAUCAUCCCAGAGCUCCAUCCUUUCCUGUUCUGUACACUUAACAUACACAAUUGUUAAGUAAAAGUCACUAGGACUAUUUUGAGAGGAAUUUUACACAAAACCUGUUGUUCUUUGUUCUGCACCAAGUUAACAUGAACUUGGUCAUACCAAAAGAUCAAGAUUUUAUUGUUGAUAUUAUUGUAACAAUAGUUAUAACCAAUCUUUCUCCUAAAAACAUCAAUCUUUUCAGGGCCGACCAUAGGUUUCUGUAGAAUGAUCAUUGGGAGAUUGUAUUUUUGUUUCAUAAAGUUCAGUCUCUCAAGGGAAUCUCAUGGAUCCUUUUCCCCUAAUAUUCCAUGAUACUGUGUUAAAAAUCAUAAACAUUAGAUUUCUAAAUCUUAGUAGGUUACUGAGUUUUGCUUUUUUCUCUGAUUUAAAGAGUUAUCAACAAUCCCUUUGCUUUCGUAUAUCCCUCUUGGGAGAGGUUGUUGUAGAAAGUAACUGCUUGUUGGACUUGUGUUUUAUCAUAAUCCACAAAUUCUAUUGUUUUGUCAUUACCCCUGGCUAUGUCAUCAUCUGAUUUGUUGUCUUCAAUGCUAACUUGUGUCAUUUCCAGGUCUUCAUCCCAGGUGUUGUUUUGAUUCUCUUCUGCCUCAUCUACCAAGCCUAGUAAAUGAAUGCUCACUCUUUUGUUGUGUUUGUAGGAGUUCAGCUUUUUCUCCAUAACCUUGUUCCCAGCAAUUUUAUCUAUGAGGUUUAGGCCCAGAACAAAAUUUGGUUUCACUACUUCUCCAUCCUUUCCCUGCAGUUUGUUUCCUUUGUUUUAGUAGGUUAUUUCCACAUCUUUGGGGAGGGUGACCUUGGUAGUGGGCUUUCUUUUCCUGCUACUUUGUCUGGUAGUGUUCAUGUUCAUAUUUAUUUGAGAUUUUGCUUCCCUCUGUUGUUCCUCCUGGAGUUUGGACAAGUCUUCUAUCUUAACAUUCUUAUUGUUUCUUGUUCCCAUUCUUUCCUUUUGAGCUUUGGCUUUCUGCUGCUUUGCUUUCUUCUUUUUGUUAUUUCUGCUUUUGAUGUGAUCUCUGAUUGUUUUGAUGAUAGUUUGCUCUCCUUCUAUAUGAGGUUCAAUGAUCUACAUACCAUAAUUUCUUCUUUAUGUAUAUGUAAGAUCUUUUCUAUUUGUUGGUGCAUAUGGUUGUCUUAAUUUCAAUGUUUGAAGGCGGUAUUUCCAUGAGAGAAGGCUUGAUGUACAUUGUCAACAUGAAAAAAACAUGCCAGUAAUAGUAAGAAGAUGUCGACACCAUUUGCGGUGCAUUUUAAAUCGAAUGUGGGUGCAAGAACCUAAUAUUUUGGGUGUAAGACCCAUUUUUUGCACUGUGCAUCAACCCCAACAAAAAGCCCGCAGUAUUGGUUGGCCCAGAGGAAGUGACAAUGAAGACGAUAUUCAUUGCGAAUUGAGUAUGUGUGAUUUAGAAAUAGAUUAUCUAGUUAAAUUUCUUCCGCAUACUACUGUGUGGGAAUAAUUUAAUUUAAUCUGUGUUGAAGACGAUGGUGAUUUUAUUGUUUUUUGUAUUUAUUUUGAAAUUAUAUAUGUGGCAACAUAUUAUAUUACAUAUGGUGAAAAUGUUGCCUUCACUUGUUUCGUACUUAUUUUCGAAUUAUGAUAUAACAAGUUAUGGUCGUACACAA